GUUUGAUCCUGGCUCAGAUUGAACGCUGGCGGCAUGCCUUACACAUGCAAGUCGAACGGUAGAGGGGCAACCCUCGAGAGUGGCGAACGGGUGAGUAACGCAUCGGAACGUGCCCAGUAGUGGGGGAUAGCCCGGCGAAAGCCGGAUUAAUACCGCAUACGACCUAUGGGUGAAAGCGGGGGACCGUAAGGCCUCGCGCUAUUGGAGCGGCCGAUGUCAGAUUAGGUAGUUGGUGGGGUAAAAGCCUACCAAGCCGACGAUCUGUAGCUGGUCUGAGAGGACGACCAGCCACACUGGGACUGAGACACGGCCCAGACUCCUACGGGAGGCAGCAGUGGGGAAUUUUGGACAAUGGGCGCAAGCCUGAUCCAGCCAUGCCGCGUGCGGGAAGAAGGCUGUGU
This 401-nucleotide ribosomal RNA is filed under the name uncultured bacterium. RNAcentral's name for it is "bacterial SSU rRNA". It matches the Rfam family "Bacterial small subunit ribosomal RNA", at positions 11 to 420 of the family's 1533-position model. The record is from RNAcentral.